Molecule: ribosomal RNA, 468 nt
Filed under: uncultured bacterium
Lineage: Bacteria
Description: partial 16S ribosomal RNA
Rfam family: Bacterial small subunit ribosomal RNA
Source: RNAcentral
GAUGAACGCUGGCGGCGUGCUUAACACAUGCAAGUCGAACGGAAAGGCCCUGCUUUUGUGGGGUGCUCGAGUGGCGAACGGGUGAGUAACACAUGAGUAACCUGCCCUUGACUUUGGGAUAACUUCAGGAAACUGGGGCUAAUACCGGAUAGGAGCUCCUGCUGCAUGGUGGGGGUUGGAAAGUUUCGGCGGUUGGGGAUGGACUCGCGGCUUAUCAGCUUGUUGGUGGGGUAGUGGCUUACCAAGGCUUUGACGGGUAGCCGGCCUGAGAGGGUGACCGGCCACAUUGGGACUGAGAUACGGCCCAGACUCCUACGGGAGGCAGCAGUGGGGAAUAUUGCACAAUGGGCGGAAGCCUGAUGCAGCAACGCCGCGUGCGGGAUGACGGCCUUCGGGUUGUAAACCGCUUUCGCCUGUGACGAAGCGUGAGUGACGGUAAUGGGUAAAGAAGCACCGGCUAACUACGUG